GAAGUCAGGUGCUAGUCAUGAGACUUAGCUGCAGUCCCGGGCGCCAUCUUGGGGCUGCCGCCACAUCCGCUCCCCACAAUUCUUAGAUGUGAUGCUGGUCUGUGGGGAUGCAAGCUGAGCUCUGUCACCUCAUUGCUCUGAAGCUGCGAGAAAUGGCUCUACAUCUCAAUGGGAUGAUGACGAACACAUGACUAUUUCAACUAAUAAAAGCUUGUAAAUCAAACAUUCAUAUCUGGAAAGAUAUAAAGAAUAUGUGUUUUAAAAUAAAUUUACAACUAUUACCAAUACUUAAAUUUAAAAUUGUUUUCUAUUAUUUUAAUUUUGUAUCCGGUCUGUCAUCAAACUUUUCGCACUUCUUGAAAUUAUAUUUUAAAUCAAAAUACUACAAAUCGUUAUGAAGCAUAAUUUUGUAUUCAUCACAUAGAAAAUCUGUUCAUUAUUGUUGCUAAUAAGUGGAUAAUUUUACCAUAAGCACUGCUUUUUCAUCAUCUACUGUCUUUAUGUAAUACAUAACUUACUGUUCUUUCAUACACAUGUUCAUUUAACUAUAUUUCUAUGUCAAUUGUUUUGACUUCCAACCUCUAUCAUGUUAACUACCAUAUAUGCCAUAAAUAUUUUUCUCUUUGCUUAAUUGUCAGUUUUUACUAUUAUUUCCUCAGUCACUUAAACCUAGUAGUUACCAUUUCUUUACUCAUUGUAUGUCCUUACUUUACUAAGUUCUCUAAAUGAUAAUUGUUGAUUCCUGAUUUACUGAAGAGUUCAAAGUUUAAUUAACUUCUAUGCAUAGUCAUGAGUUUGACAAAUCAUAGCCUUCCCCUAACAUAAUUAUAGUAUCAUCAUACUCUUCAGAAUUAUCAUGAUUUUAGGAUCAUUGCAAAUAGGUGAUUAGCAAUGUGAGUAUUAGCUAAAUAAAGAAACCUCCGAAUAGUAUUCAGAGAACGAUGAAAAUACAAACACAUGAGUAUCUGUUCAUGAAAAUAAGAAGGUAAAGGUAAUUAUUAUUUUGGGUUUUUAUUCUUUGAGAUUCAAGUGAAUAUUACUUGUACAUUUUAACUGUUUAUAAAUAUCUUCCAGUCAUUUUAAAAUGAGAAUAUCUAAGUAUUCCUAACAGUGCACAAGGAUAGCCACAACAUAAAGAAAAAAAAUUUCUAUCAGUGCGUUUCCAAGCAAUCACUUCACAGUACAACAUGCAAAAGUAAAGACAAUUGUGUAGUGUUGUGCUAACAAACAACUGAAUGUGUCAUUUAGAUUGUCUUUGAUUAAAAAAAACAUAGUGAAAAAUAAAGUAUUAUAUUCUAUCUGUGAAAGGCAAUUUAGAGUGAAAUGCUAUGUUCAAAUAUCACACUUUUAACUGCCCCAUGCUGAAUAGCAUGCUUCUCUGGAAGUUGCUAAAGAUGUAUUUCUAAACUCGAGUUGAACAUUAUCCAAAACAAAGUUCCCUGUCUCCGCCUCGAUGGGAUUCCAGAGAUUUCUGUAAAAAGAGGAAAUAGUGAUUAUGGAACAUACUCAUAUAUACACAUUUACUACCACUUUUGUCUUAAGCUUCUUGAUUGAUUUUUUUUAAUAGGACCAUUUUUGUUUGGGGGAAUAUAUUUCCAGAUGGAAAGCUAUACCAUCACCUGAAAGUUAUUUUUCUUGUGAAGUUAUUUUCUGUGUAGACUAAAGUAACCACCUAUUCACAUAUUCAUAAACACGAUGCUGAUAACAUUUUUAUUUUAGUAAUAUUAAAUAUUUAUAAAGAUUUAAAACCACUUGUACUAUUUAUCCUAUCUGCUUUUCCACACAUAAGAUGGUAACAAAAUAUUAACUUGCAUAAAAUGCUCAAGUGGGAUUUUGAAAGGCAUCACAUAAAUCUACAUUUUCAUAAAUAACUUUACACAUAUUUUAGGAUAUUAUACAGAUUAUUUUUUCCUUCCAUGACAGAAGUAAAGUCCUCAUGGAGGAAAGAACCUCAACUAAGAAAAAUGACUUCAUCGUAUUGGUCUCUAACAUUUCUUUAUUAAUGAUUGAAGCUAGAUGGCACAGCAUUCUAUGAGCAAUUGAAGUCUUUGGUAGGGAAAUUGAACAAGCCAUGGAAGGCAAGGCAAUAAGUACUACACUCCAUGGUCUCUGUUUCAAUUCCCAUUCAGGUUCUGCUCUAACUUCCCUUCAUGAUGAGCUAUAAGGUACAUGAUGAGAUAAACUCCUUCUUCCCCAAGUUGUUUUGAUAAUGGAGUUUAUUGUAGUAAUAGAAUCAAUUCAGAAGAGAAAUUAGUACCAGAAAGUGGGCUGUUCCUAUGAUACACAUGACUACCUCAUUCCUGGGAAGAUGGAGGACACGUUUAGAAAUUUAGAUUGCAUUAAAAUAUUCAGAACUUAAUGAUCUAUAAGAACUUGGAAGAUUAAAAUAUUGAGAAAAAUACAGUUAGUAUAGGCCUGGCUUGUAAAAUUUCAGAAGGAAGUGAACACUCAGUACCAUUAUUAUGAUAUAUUUGAAUUAAGACUCUUGGGAUUCUGGUCAUUUAGUACUGAAAAAUCAACUGUAAUUUCCAAGAGAUCAGUAUUGCAAAUCCCUUGUUUUUCUGGAUAGGUGAUGCUAUUUAAUUGUAGAUGAAAAAUCAGCCGUGAUUAAGAAGAGAUAACUAGUGCUAAAUCAAAAUAUUUUGACAAAUAUUGGCUCGAGGUCAGCAUACAGAAACUGUGGUUUUGAGGAGGCUAAGGUUCUUCUCAAGCUAACAGUAAUACUCAGUUAUGUGGAAGAUUGUCUCACUUGGUAUUAGUUUAAAGUGAGGAAGGUUCAAAGAAAGUAGCCAUGUCUUGAAAUUGAUUGAGGUCAGAAAUGGGCAUUGGUGAACAUGCAGUCUCAGUUUCCAUAGAGACCACAUAGUACAUGCCUACCAAGAAGAGCAGCCGAUGUGGAGCCAGCUCCAGCCUUUAAGACAAGCAAUGAUAGCUGAGGAUGACAGAGCUGCUGAGGUGGGGUCCAGAGCAUCAGAGGGUGAGUUGUUGGCUUUAUUUUGAUCUGAUUGUAAAUGUGUCCUGGUUCUUAGCUCAUGGCAUAAGACAUAUGUAUCUUUUUUUUUUUUUGAGCUAUAUAGAAACACACAGUUGAGAGACUUGGGACUUGAAAAAAGACAUUGAGAAGAGUACUUCAAUUCAGAAAAUUGGGUCAAGUAGACUGUCCUGGAAGAAAAUUUGUGGGGCAUUUUCUUGAUUAAUGAUUGAUGAGAGAGGGUCUAGCUACUGUGGUUAAUGCUACCCUGAGCUGGUGGUUGGUCUAGGAAGAUGUGCUAAAGAUUGACAAACAUUUGAUUGGACAAAAAGUCAAGCUUUCUCAUAUUGUUUCUGCCUCUGGUCCUACUUGAAUUCUUGCCAUGAUUUCCCUCAGUGAUUAGCUGUGAUUAGCAUGUAUAAGACAAGUGCACCCUUUUCUCCCUAAGAUGCUAUUGUUCAUGAUGUUUAUCACAGCAGUAUAUACCAAACUAGGGCAGAGAUAUUAAUUAAAAUUAUGAGUUUCAGCAUAAAAUUUCCAUAAAAAUUUCCAUAAAUAUACAUAACACACUUUGAUUAUAUUCAUUCAAAAAUUUAAAAUGUUUCACGUCUCAAGAGAACUAAAGGCAAAGAAUGAAACAGAAACAUAACCUAGGCCAAUAGGUUCUUACUCUACUCUUCUGUAAUGAGUUUCCCACAUUGCAAAAUGUAGAGUGGAUGGAUGUCAAGUGGGAAGAAAACAAGACUAUGAUUAGUGAUUAAACCAGGACAGAAUUUCACAGAACUAAAAUAUCAAAGCAAGGGUUAGAUUGUUGAAUUUGGCAGAACCAACAAAGAUAUCAAUGAAAAUAAGAAUCAUUUUGAACAUUAUAAGAUGGAAUAAAAAUUUACAGAAAUUACAUAAUAAGAAAAAUAGAUUUCAUAAAUUGAUUUAAAUUUAAAAGUCAGCAACAAAAGAUCAAAAACUCAGGUGACAGCAGAUGCUGGGGAGGAUGCGGAGAAAGAGGAACACUCCUCCAUUGUUGGUGGGAUUGCAGACUGGUACAACCAUUCUGGAAAUCAGUCUGGAGGUUCCUCAGAAAAUUGGACAUUGAACUGCCUGAGGAUCCAGCUAUACCUCUCUUGGGCAUAUACCCAAAAGAUGCCUCAACAUAUAAAAGAGACACGUGCUCCACUAUGUUCAUCGCAGCCUUAUUUAUAAUAGCCAGAAGCUGGAAAGUACCCAGAUGCCCUUCAACAGAGGAAUGGAUACAGAAAAUGUGGUACAUCUACACAAUGGAAUAUUACUCAGCUAUCAAAAACAAUGAGUUUAUGAAAUUCGUAGGCAAAUGGUUGGAACUGGAAAAUAUCAUCCUGAGUGAGCUAACCCAAUCACAGAAAGACAUACAUGGUAUGCACUCAUUGAUAAGUGGCUAUUAGCCCAAAUGCUUGAAUUACCCUAGAUCCCUAGAACAAAUGAAACUCAAGACGGAUGAUCAAAAUGUGAAUGUUUCAUGCCUUCUUUAAAAGGGGAACAAGAAUACCCUUGGCAGGGAAGAGAGAGGCAAAGAUUAAAACAGAGACUGAAGGAACACCCAUUCAGAGCCUGCCCCACAUGUGGCCCAUACAUAUACAGCCACCCAGUUAGACAAGAUGGAUGAAGCAAAGAAGUGCAGACUGACAGGAGCCGGAUGUAGAUCGCUCCUGAGAGACACAGCCAGAAUACAGCAAAUACAGAGGCAAAUGCCAGCAGCAAACCACUGAACUGAGAAUAGGACCCCCGUUGAAGGAAUCAGAGAAAGAAUUGGAGGAGCUUGAAGGGGCUCGAGACCCCAUAUGUACAACAAUGCCAAGCAACCAGAGCUUCCAGGGACUAAGCCACUACCUAAAGACUAUACAUGAACUGACCCUGGACUCUGACCUCAUAGGAAGAAGAAACACAACAAGACAAACAAAACAAAACAAAAAACUGGGAAUGGUAAUGAUGGUGUCUUUGAAUUGCAAGGGUCACAAACUUAUAAUCAGAAUUCAAGGCCACGACCUUAGGUACUGGGGUAUGUGUUUAGGGAGGGGAGGAUUGAUGGUUCAGGUGUGUUUCCGUGUCCUUCAUUUCCUCCUUCUUAGGAUGUUCAGAUGACAUUGCACACUGGAUUCUAAGCAUAAUGUGGUGUGGUUCUGCAGAAUCCUUGUCAGGAUUGUGGGAGGGGGGGCCUUCUUUGAAGAUCUUAGUGUUACAGCUCUUUUACAUAAACGCCUUCUUCAACAGUUUUCGAUGAAACAGCUCUCUGAGACAAUCUUUUGUGGAUACCUUUAUUCUGGGUGGGCUUGUAUGAAUACACUUAUUGGGGUAAACAAGGGUUAUAUAUGGACCUUGGAGAGUGGCAAGGAGUUUUCAGCAUAAAUGAAAACCAUUGGCUACAGUUUGAAAUUUCUGUAAAUACAUUAUUUGCAUAGCGAGGCAUUCCAGGAGUCUCUGGUACUUGCUGGGCUAGUUCUUAUUGGAUGUGGGUGGAGAGGAAAUAGAAAAGAUGAAGUUGAACUUGUAGGUUUGUGAAGGACUUCUUGACCUAACCCAGGUAGGAGGUAUAGGGGUACUGGCUCCCUAAUCAGGGUCCAGAGGAGGGAAUUCCCUUCUGGUAAAGGCAGUCCUCAAUUUUGCACAGAGCUCAGAGAAGCUACCUGGACAUGUUAGACUUUGACCUUAAUCAGCUGUGUUUUUCCUAAGGCUCUAUUAUAACCCAUAUGCUACUUUUUGAAAUAGAUGAUAUUAUGAUCUCAACAACUAGAAAAUAAUGAAAAAAACUAUAGGUUUAUAAGUACUCAUUGAUUUUUAUUUAAAAUAUACUAUUUAAAAGGAGACCAUUACGGAAAAUCACACCCAAUUAACACGCAAAGCUAUGGAGUUCAGUCCCACUGAUGCAUCUAUCAAAAAUUUCCUGCACUCAAUGAAAUAUCAAGUAAUAGAGGUUAUUAAAACCUAAACCAUUGGUUCUCCACCUGUGAAUCAUGAUCCCUUUGGGGGUUGAAGACCCUUUCACAGGGGUUGCUUAUAAUCAACUUGUAUAUCAUGUAUUUACAUUGUGAUUCCUAAUAGUAGCAAAAUAACAGUUAUGAUUAUCAAUGAAAUAAUUGUAUGGAUGGGUGUCACUACAACAUAUGGAAGUAUAUUAAGGAGUUGCAUCAUUAGGAAAAUUGAGAAUCACAGAAAUAGAGGAACAGAGAUUUUGCUGUAAGAUGUCUCCUAGAGAUUUUUGAUGUGGUCCUUCCAACAUGGGUGCCUAAGCAUGAGCUGGACAUAGAGAAAAUGAAUAGGCAUAAGACAAGAGCUGGAAUCAUGGUUGGAAACAAAACACUGUUAUUCCUUGGACAAUAAAUAUUGUGGUCUUUUGUUCACAUUGAUUCUGUCCUUUUCUCUCUGCUAUUCAGAAGUUAGGCCAACAACUUAGAAAAGUGUUUGGUAACUUCAGUGAAGAAGAUGUAGAAAUUGCCUUCCAUUUGCCACUUGCUAGGAGACGAAUACUAUAUCUUCUAAGGAUGUUUACUAUAUAUGCCUCCUCAUAAUUCAUGUCAGCAACAAUAACUGACAAAACCUUAUCAAAAGAUUUGCAUAGGAUAUAUCAUAGGAGACACCAAAAUAAAUUUAAAGUGACUAAAAACUACAAAGAGUAUAGUCUAUACAAAAUAUAAUAGUGAUUUUUUUCCUUUCUUCCUUUUUCUUUCUUUUGUCUUCACAGCCUUUCUGGUCUUCCAAGACUCAAAAGAUGCCCAGGAAUAUUUGAUUUAUUUUGCAGUGGAAUUUCAGU
This is a non-coding RNA of Rattus norvegicus (Norway rat), 6752 nucleotides long. Lineage: Eukaryota; Metazoa; Chordata; Mammalia; Rodentia; Muridae. The record is from RefSeq and is a predicted model, not a curated record.